GGACGAACGCUGGCGGCGUGCCUAAUACAUGCAAGUCGAACGGUCUUUUCUAUGGAAGCUUGCUUCCACUGAGAAGAUAGUGGCGAACGGGUGAGUAACACGUGGGUAACCUGCCCAUAAGAGGGGGAUAACAUCCGGAAACGGGUGCUAAUACCGCAUAGUUUUCUUGAUCGCAUGAUUGAGAAAGGAAAGACGGCCUUUGUGCUGUCGCUUAUGGAUGGACCCGCGGCGUAUUAGUUAGUUGGUGAGGUAACGGCUCACCAAGACGAUGAUACGUAGCCGACCUGAGAGGGUGAUCGGCCACAUUGGGACUGAGACACGGCCCAAACUCCUACGGGAGGCAGCAGUAGGGAAUCUUCCGCAAUGGACGAAAGUCUGACGGAGCAACGCCGCGUGAGUGAAGAAAGGUUUUCGGAUCGUAAAACUCUGUUGUCAGAGAAGAACAAGUUGGAGAGUAACUGCUCCAGCCUUGACGGUAUCUGACCAGAAGGCCACGGCUAACUACGUGCCAGCAGCCGC
This 519-nucleotide ribosomal RNA is filed under the name uncultured bacterium. RNAcentral describes it as "bacterial SSU rRNA". It matches the Rfam family "Bacterial small subunit ribosomal RNA", at positions 27 to 518 of the family's 1533-position model. The record is from RNAcentral.